ACUAAUCUGAGGUUGUACCACUUGGAAACAAGUUGGAACACCAAAGAACAAGAAAGCUAGGGGAACAGCAACCAAAAAAAAAGUGGGACAUGUAUUAUCCUGUCUCGGGCGCUCGGACAUCUCCGCAGAGAGCGAGCUACGAUGUUGAACUACAGAUCCAAAGAUUUGGAAGAAGGAAAAUGUUUGAUUGGGGCGGUGGUGGGGUGGGAUUUUGCUUCUACAUAACUUCUCCAUAUCUGUAACCUAUUGUUAUUGAACAACUACAAAAAAGAGUGAUGUAGAAGACAGAAAUGUUUUGUUGAUUGGAAAAGAGAAAAGAGAGAUUUAAUGUAAGUUUAGUAUUCAGCUGUUGUUGGUUUACAAGCGGAAUCUAAUGGAACAUAUGUAUGGUGAAUUUAAGUUUGCAUUUAUCG
Molecule: long non-coding RNA, 413 nt
Organism: Papaver somniferum (opium poppy)
Lineage: Eukaryota; Viridiplantae; Streptophyta; Magnoliopsida; Ranunculales; Papaveraceae
Exons: 2
Source: RefSeq, a predicted model, not a curated record